UACGUAGGGGGCGAGCGUUGUCCGGAUUUAUUGGGCGUAAAGAGCUCGUAGGCGGCUUAGUAAGUCGGGUGUGAAAACUCCAGGCUCAACCUGGAGACGCCACCCGAUACUGCUGUGGCUAGAGUCCGGUAGGGGAGCGUGGAAUUCCUGGUGUAGCGGUGAAAUGCGCAGAUAUCAGGAGGAACACCAAUUGCGAAGGCAGCUCGCUGGGACGUGACUGACGCUGAGACGCGAAAGCGUGGGGAGCAAACAGG
RNAcentral lists this ribosomal RNA (254 nucleotides) under uncultured bacterium. RNAcentral's name for it is "partial 16S ribosomal RNA". It matches the Rfam family "Bacterial small subunit ribosomal RNA", at positions 524 to 776 of the family's 1533-position model. The record is from RNAcentral.